RNAcentral lists this ribosomal RNA (496 nucleotides) under uncultured bacterium. RNAcentral describes it as "partial 16S ribosomal RNA". It matches the Rfam family "Bacterial small subunit ribosomal RNA", at positions 28 to 506 of the family's 1533-position model. The record is from RNAcentral.
GACGAACGCUGGCGGCGUGCCUAAUACAUGCAAGUCGAGCGAACAGACGAGGAGCUUGCUCCUCUGACGUUAGCGGCGGACGGGUGAGUAACACGUGGAUAACCUACCUAUAAGACUGGGAUAACUUCGGGAAACCGGAGCUAAUACCGGAUAACAUGUUGAACCGCAUGGUUCAACAGUGAAAGACGGUCUUGCUGUCACUUAUAGAUGGAUCCGCGCCGCAUUAGCUAGUUGGUAAGGUAACGGCUUACCAAGGCAACGAUGCGUAGCCGACCUGAGAGGGUGAUCGGCCACACUGGAACUGAGACACGGUCCAGACUCCUACGGGAGGCAGCAGUAGGGAAUCUUCCGCAAUGGGCGAAAGCCUGACGGAGCAACGCCGCGUGAGUGAAGAAGGUCUUCGGAUCGUAAAACUCUGUUAUUAGGGAAGAACAAAUGUGUAAGUAACUAUGCACGUCUUGACGGUACCUAAUCAGAAAGCCACGGCUAACUACGU